CCAAGCUAUAAGUUUUAUCAUUAUAAAUGGCUUCGCGCAAGACCGCAAGAUCUGGGGAGCUAAGGGACCCAUCCUUCCCACGGCCAAUCAAACAUUUUUCCACGAAUAAUGAGAAGUACCAGAGCACGGGAAAAUGUAUGCUAGCAGCUCUAGCGCAAGGCACUCCUCUCUCCUCUCCUAUAGCAAUAGUAUCUAUGAAAGCCUCCAAGUCCCGUGGAAAAGGUUCAUGAAUAUCCCCAACAAAAGGCAAUUUGCAAACAUUGCAAAAAUCUUGGAGUGACAUGCGCUGGGGGAUAUCAUAUAAUUUGAACUCAGCCAUAGG
RNAcentral lists this long non-coding RNA (322 nucleotides) under Hordeum vulgare. Its description in RNAcentral is "long non-coding RNA (HVUL_LNC002790)". The record is from RNAcentral. Lineage: Eukaryota; Viridiplantae; Streptophyta; Magnoliopsida; Poales; Poaceae.